AACUUAAGCAUAUCAAUAAGCGGAGGAAAAGAAACUAACAAGGAUUCCCCUAGUAACUGCGAGUGAAGCGGGAAAAGCUCAAAUUUAAAAUCUGUUGGCAUUGGCCAUCCGAGUUGUAAUCUAGAGAAGUGUUACCCGUGCUGGACCGUGUACAAGUCUCCUGGAAUGGAGCAUCACAGAGGGUGAGAAUCCCGUCUUUGACAUGGACUACCAGUGCUUUUGUGGUAUGCUCUCAAAGAGUCGAGUUGUUUGGGAAUGCAGCUCAAAAUGGGUGGUAAAUGCCAUCUAAAGCUAAAUAUUGGCGAGAGACCGAUAGCGAACAAGUACCGUGAGGGAAAGAUGAAAAGAACUUUGGAAAGAGAGUUAAACAGUACGUGAAAUUGCUGAAAGGGAAACGCUUGAAGUCAGUCGCGUUGACUUGAAAUCAACCCUGCUUUUGCUGGGUGUAUUUUCUUGUCAAUGGGUCAGCAUCAAUUUUGACCAUUGGAUAAAGUUAUUGGGAAUGUGGCAUCUUUGGAUGUGUUAUAGCCUAAUGAUGCAUACAGUGGUUGGGAUUGAGGAAUUCAGCACGCCAUAAGGCCGGGUUUCGACCACGUCCGUGCUUAGGAUGCUGGCAUAAUGGCUUUAAUCGACCCGUCUUGAAACACGGACCAAGGAGUCUAACAUGCCUGCAAGUGUUUGGGUGGAAAACCCAUGCGCGUAAUGAAAGUGAAAGUUGAGAUCCCUUUGGGGAGCAUCGACGCCCGGACCAGACCUUUUGUGACGGAUCUGCGGUAGAGCAUGUAUGUUGGGACCCGAAAGAUGGUGAACUAUGCCUGAAUAGGGUGAAGCCAGAGGAAACUCUGGUGGAGGCUCGUAGCGAUUCUGACGUGCAAAUCGAUCGUCAAAUUUGGGUAUAGGGGCGAAAGACUAAUCGAACCAUCUAGUAGCUGGUUCCUGCCGA
Molecule: ribosomal RNA, 943 nt
Filed under: Pseudosperma breviterincarnatum
Lineage: Eukaryota; Fungi; Basidiomycota; Agaricomycetes; Agaricales; Inocybaceae
Description: eukaryotic LSU rRNA
Rfam family: Eukaryotic large subunit ribosomal RNA
Source: RNAcentral